RNAcentral lists this unclassified non-coding RNA (979 nucleotides) under Hevea brasiliensis (rubber tree). Lineage: Eukaryota; Viridiplantae; Streptophyta; Magnoliopsida; Malpighiales; Euphorbiaceae. The record is from RNAcentral.
AAACGUUCUCUGCCCAUUAUUUUUAUUUUUGAAUUCUAUAUAUAAGUCCAACUCUAUCCUUACACAUUCCAUACAAGAAAAAUCUAAACCCAAAUCCAUACGUUGUCUUCACCAAUUAAAAUGGCCACUGAAAAACUCCCAAAACCAUCCAAGUGGUUCUCUAGCAAGGGCCUUAGCCUCAGCUACCAGCAUCUCCGUUCAAAAUCUAGCUCUUCAAGAAGAUUAGACUAUGUUCCCAGCUCAAGAUUAAGCUCUCCUGAUUCUCCCACCUCACCAAAAAUUGUUAAUAAUAAUGCAAUUUCUAGGCAGGAAGAGCUAAGACAAGUGUUUGGUUAUUUUGAUGGUGAUGGGGAUGGAAAGAUUUCGGCCCUUGAACUUAGGGCAUACUUUGGCUCCAUUGGAGAGUACAUGUCUUAUGAAGAUGCUCAAGGGGUGAUCCAGGAGCUUGACACAGAUGGGGAUAAUUUAUUGGAUUUCCAUGAUUUCUUGAGGCUAAUGAAGAGGGGAGCAGAUCAAGAGGAUCUCAAGAAAGCCUUUGAGAUGUUUGAGUUGGAAAAGGGAGAUGGAUGCAUAACUCCAAGAGGGUUGCAGAGAAUGUUGAGUCGCUUAGGAGAUACGAAAUCUUUGGAUGAGUGUGUGGCUAUGAUUCAGGUUUUUGAUGCUGAUGGUGAUGGUGUGCUUGAUUUUCAAGAGUUUAAUCAAAUGAUGGCUUAAUAAAAGCUGUGCUAUCCACUUUGUGGCUUCUUUAAUUACCUCUAUUGUUCCAUAAUAAAAGAGCUCUCUCUCUACAUGCGAGUACUGUAAGUUUAAUUGUCGUCCAACCAUGUAAAAUCUUGUGUUUUCUUGACUUGAAUCCACUUGCUUUACUCUUUGAUUCAUUUUGUAAAUUGAAUGAGUAGAUAUUAUGCCUGUGGAGUUCAAAGAGCUGCAUAUAUAUCACUGUUAACUAUACAUGCAUGAGUAAAUUCAUCAAUAAAUU